RNAcentral lists this ribosomal RNA (274 nucleotides) under uncultured bacterium. RNAcentral describes it as "partial 16S ribosomal RNA". It matches the Rfam family "Bacterial small subunit ribosomal RNA", at positions 523 to 796 of the family's 1533-position model. The record is from RNAcentral.
AUACGGAAGGCCCGAGCGUUAAUCGGAAUCACUGGGCUUAAAGCGUGCGCAGGCGGACAUGUAGGUGUCCUGUGAAAUCCCUCGGCUCAACCGGGGAACUGCAGGGCAAACCCCAUGUCUUGAGGCAGGUAGGGGUCGAUGGAACUGUCGGUGGAGCGGUGAAAUGCGUAGAUAUCGACAGGAACGCCAGUGGCGAAGGCGAUCGACUGGGCCUGUCCUGACGCUCAGGCACGAAAGCGUGGGGAGCAAACAGGAUUAGAAACCCCGGUAGUCC